Molecule: ribosomal RNA, 253 nt
Filed under: uncultured bacterium
Lineage: Bacteria
Description: partial 16S ribosomal RNA
Rfam family: Bacterial small subunit ribosomal RNA
Source: RNAcentral
CACGUAAGGGGCAAGCGUUGUUCGGAUUUAUUGGGCGUAAAGGGCGCGUAGGCGGUUUUGCAAGCCUGAUGUGAAAGCCUGGGGCUCAACCCCGGAACUGCAUUGGGAACUGCAAGACUUGAAUCAUGGAAGGGAAACUAGAAUUCCAGGUGUAGGGGUGAAAUCUGUAGAUAUCUGGAAGAAUACCGGUGGCGAAGGCGAGUUUCUGGCCAAUGAUUGACGCUGAGGCGCGAAAGUGCGGGGAGCAAACAGG